Molecule: ribosomal RNA, 440 nt
Filed under: uncultured bacterium
Lineage: Bacteria
Description: partial 16S ribosomal RNA
Rfam family: Bacterial small subunit ribosomal RNA
Source: RNAcentral
CCUACGGGUGGCAGCAGUGGGGGAUAUUGCACAAUGGGGGAAACCCUGAUGCAGCAACGCCGCGUGAGUGACGAAGGUCUUCGGAUUGUAAAACUCUGUUCUUGGUGAAGAUAAUGACGGUAGCCAAGGAGAAAGCUCCGGCUAACUACGUGCCAGCAGCCGCGGUAAUACGUAGGGAGCGAGCGUUAUCCGGAUUUACUGGGUGUAAAGGGUGCGUAGGCGGCCGUGCAAGUCAGGCGUGAAAGCCAUGGGCUCAACCCGUGGACUGCUCUUGAAACUGUAAGGCUUGAGUGAAGGAGAGGUAGGUGGAAUUCCCGGUGUAGCGGUGAAAUGCGUAGAGAUUGGGAGGAACACCAGUGGCGAAGGCGGCUUACUGGGCUGUAACUGACGUUGAGGCACGAAAGCAUGGGUAGCAAACAGGAUUAGAUACCCGGGUAGUC